GACGAACGCUGGCGGCGUGCCUAAUACAUGCAAGUAGAACGCUGAAGGAUGAUCUUGCUUCUCUGGGUGAGUUGCGCACGGGUGAGUAACGCGUAGGUAACCUGCCUGGUAGCGGGGGCGAACUCUUGGAAACGAUAGCUAAUACCGCAUAAUAGUAGAUGUUGCAUGACAUUUGCUUACAAGGUGCAAUUGCGUCACUACCAGAUGGACCUGCGUUGUAUUAGCUCGUUGGUGAGGUAACGGCUCACCAAGGCAACGAUGUAAAGCCGACCCGAGCGGAUGAUCAGCCGCUCGGGGAAGGAGACGAGGCGCAGACCUGGGCGGGAGGCAGCAGUAGGGAUUCUUCGGGAAUGGGCGGAAGGGUGACCGAGGAACUCCGCGAGAGUGAAGAGGGUUAACGGCGCGUAAAGCUCGGUUGUAAGAGAAGAGCGAGUGUGAGAGCUGAAAGAUCACACUGUGACGGUAGCUGAGCAGAAAGGGACGGCUAACUACGUG
Molecule: ribosomal RNA, 495 nt
Filed under: uncultured bacterium
Lineage: Bacteria
Description: partial 16S ribosomal RNA
Rfam family: Bacterial small subunit ribosomal RNA
Source: RNAcentral